RNAcentral lists this ribosomal RNA (253 nucleotides) under uncultured bacterium. RNAcentral's name for it is "partial 16S ribosomal RNA". It matches the Rfam family "Bacterial small subunit ribosomal RNA", at positions 524 to 776 of the family's 1533-position model. The record is from RNAcentral.
UACGUAGGGGGCAAGCGUUAUCCGGAUUCACUGGGUGUAAAGGGAGCGUAGACGGCCAGGCAAGCCUGGAGUGAAAGCCCGGGGCCCAACCCCGGGACUGCUCUGGGAACUGUCCGGCUGGAGUGCGGGAGGGGCAGGCGGAAUUCCUGGUGUAGCGGUGAAAUGCGUAGAUAUCAGGAGGAACACCGGCGGCGAAGGCGGCCUGCUGGACCGCGACUGACGUUGAGGCUCGAAAGCGUGGGGAGCGAACAGG